AAGAAAUACUUCGCAACACCUUCAGUCAGUUUAGACUAAUUUCUCUCCCUCUGUGCUCUACUGGCAACCUGUACAGACUUCUAAACUCAAUGGCAGUAAACACACUGCUUCAUUAUCUUUGUUUCUCUGCCCGUUUUCCUCGGUAGCCUCAAGCUCCUGGAGGGAAUGGACCAAGUCUUAAUUGUCUUUGCAUGUGUCUAAGACCGAAUACAGCGCUUGGCUCUUAAGAUGUUUCUCGAGUUAGUGAUGCAUGUCCAGAACCAAGUGAAUUCUGGUCUGGCAGAAAGAAAGCUCUGUGAUGGACAGGACAGACAAGUUCCGGGGUGAGACUGCAGCUGCUGACCUGGAUGGUCCAGACUAGCUUCAGCCAUCUGCUUGGCCAGCCCUUGAUUGGCUGGACACAGAAAGGAAUGAAAACCAAUCAAGAAAGAUGACCUUUAUCAGAAGGAAACAAUUUGCAAGCAGCUGCCAGGACCCGGAGACCCGGAGAAGAGGAGCAGAAUGCUUGUCUUCGGUGGUCUCUCUGGGGGUCAUGAUCUGGGCACAACAGCAUGCACAUGCAGUCUUCCCCAGUUUCUAGAAGGGCAAGUGUUUUCCAAUGGCGGAGGAAAGAGCUUCUAACACUAACUGGGAUCACAGGUGGUAUACCUGGGCUAGCACUCUGUGCUUCAGAACAAAGGUGAAGAAUUCCAAAUCCCAGCAUUUGGCAGCCAGAGCCCUCAGCCUCUUGAAGACGGACCCCCUUCCAAGACCAUAGCAACAGGACUCCGAGUUGGUGGCUUCCUUCUAACUAAUGAGGGGUAAAUGGCGAGCCAAGCAAGAUGGGGAAGCAGCAGCCAGAAAGGAGGAGACUGCCGACACAGAGGCUCGGUGACCUCUGAUUAUCCGGAGCCGCUUCUUGAACACAUUUUUGUGAGACCGCCUGCUGUCUCCAGUCAGCAGGCUGCCUUCACUCCUCCUAAUUAAAGCCAGCAGGCUCCCAUGGAAGAAAACAAUUUCAAAGCAAAGGGAUGGGGUGGGGAGAAAGCCUUAGCCCUCUUCCCUUUCUUCCCAGGGAGACUCUGAGCUUGUUGGAGGUGAAGCAGGUCUGAAAGACAUGCCCGGCGAAUUAAAAUCCAGCAGGCCACAGGCUUCCAUUGAAUUGACUUCAUUCUCUUCCCCUGGAGUCUUGGGACUACACCCCAUGAGUUAUAAGAAAGGAGUCUAUAAAUGGCGCCUGACUUCAGUGCUCUGGCUUCCCGCCCACCCUACAUGGCCGCGCUCUUACCACGGCGGAGAGCAUCGCCAUCCAGCGAGCCUCCUCCUGAGGCUGAGCUCUGUCCGCCAACGAACCCCAGGGGAAUGGAGUGUUUGGGACUCGGAGCAUGAGCUCACCCGACUCCACAAGUCUGGGAUCACCUGCCAUCUGCUGGGAUCCUCCAUCUACCGGCCUAGGGAAGGUCUGAAGCAAUGUCCAGGUGUCCCCAGCCUCUACCUUGCACCCCUCCCUCAUUGCCCUGAGCCAUGGUCCCUCACCCACCACCUCUACUGUGACCUUUUACCACCUCCUUUUGCUGUAAGACUGAAUUCUGUAGGACCCUGCAGAGAAUGGGGCUGCCAUUACAGGGCUAAGUGUUCACCUGCUCACAUCCUGGAUAAGUAGGACUUGGCUACUUACUGUGAGGGGCCCCCAAAACAACUUGAUCACGCAGCUGCCAUGACAGGCUCAGAGGCCCAGCCACAGCUUCUGGCAGGCAACACCUGGACCCAGGAAGAGCCAUAAGCUGAUCCCACCCAGUGGGGCCUGCAUCUAAGAGCA
Peromyscus maniculatus bairdii (prairie deer mouse) is the source of this 1798-nucleotide non-coding RNA. Lineage: Eukaryota; Metazoa; Chordata; Mammalia; Rodentia; Cricetidae. The record is from RefSeq and is a predicted model, not a curated record.